This 253-nucleotide ribosomal RNA is filed under the name uncultured bacterium. RNAcentral describes it as "partial 16S ribosomal RNA". It matches the Rfam family "Bacterial small subunit ribosomal RNA", at positions 524 to 776 of the family's 1533-position model. The record is from RNAcentral.
UACGUAGGUGGCGAGCGUUGUCCGGAUUUACUGGGCGUAAAGAGCGCGCAGGCGGUCGUGCAAGUCGCGUGUGAAAGCCCCCGGCUCAACUGGGGAGGGUCACGCGAUACUGCUCGACUUGAAGGCAGGAGAGGGAAGUGGAAUUCCCGGUGUAGCAGUGAAAUGCGUAGAGAUCGGGAGGAACAUCAGUUGCGAAGGCGGCUCUCUGGACCAGCACUGACACUGAGGCACGAAAGCGUGGGGAGCAAACAGG